AAACCAACAGGGAUUGCCUUAGUAGCGGCGAGUGAAGCGGCAAUAGCUCAAAUUUGAAAUCUGGCGUCUUCGGCGUCCGAGUUGUAAUUUGAAGAAGGUAUCUUUGAGGCUGGCUCUUGUCUAUGUUCCUUGGAACAGGACGUCACAGAGGGUGAGAAUCCCGUGCGAUGAGAUGCCCAGUUUCGUGUAAAGUUCCUUCGACGAGUCGAGUUGUUUGGGAAUGCAGCUCUAAGUGGGUGGUAAAUUCCAUCUAAAGCUAAAUAUUGGCGAGAGACCGAUAGCGAACAAGUACUGUGAAGGAAAGAUGAAAAGAACUUUGAAAAGAGAGUGAAAAAGUACGUGAAAUUGUUGAAAGGGAAGGGCUUGAGGUCAGACUUGGUUUACCAGGCCAGCAUCAGUUUGGGUGGCAGGAUAAUAGCUAAGGAAAGUGGCACGAUUUCGGUUGUGUGUUAUAGCCUUGGUUGAUACUGCCUGCCUAGACUGAGGACUGCGUCUUUGACUAGGAUGCUGGCAUAAUGACCUUAAGCCGC
This 530-nucleotide ribosomal RNA is filed under the name Yamadazyma diddensiae. RNAcentral's name for it is "eukaryotic LSU rRNA". It matches the Rfam family "Eukaryotic large subunit ribosomal RNA", at positions 62 to 648 of the family's 3401-position model. The record is from RNAcentral. RNAcentral also lists the same sequence under 1 other name. Lineage: Eukaryota; Fungi; Ascomycota; Pichiomycetes; Serinales; Debaryomycetaceae.